Long non-coding RNA from Leopardus geoffroyi (Geoffroy's cat), 653 nucleotides. RefSeq lists it as uncharacterized. NCBI's taxonomy places the organism in Eukaryota, Metazoa, Chordata, Mammalia, Carnivora, Felidae. The record is from RefSeq and is a predicted model, not a curated record. The transcript is spliced from 2 exons.
GGCCUCAUAAUCUUCCUACAGGGGAUGCUGAAUUCCAUAACCACUGCCCUAUUGUUAGACUGUUUCCAUUUCCCCAGUUGUAACAGGCUAUGAGAUACAGAUUUGUACACAAAUCUUUUCUUCCGCCAUGUCUGCUGGUUACCUUAGGACCCAUUCCCAGAAGGGAAAUUACUGAGCAAAAGCAAAUGAGCAUUUUUCAAGCUACAGAUUCUGGAACUGCUCUCCAGACACACCGCUUCAGUCUCCCAGGGUCUCCACCAACCCAGCCACCUUUGGCUCUGAGGACGUUCUGCAGUGAAAUAACCAUUUCUUUGAGCUCUCAUAAAGAACCUACCAUUCAGUGACUCCCAGAGCUUUUUGCACAUGAAAUGGAUAAGGAAAAUGUCUGAGACAAACAAUCUGAAUUUUAAAUGCAGAUCAAAGUCCUUGCAGCAGCGAAGAAAGCCUGUGGGUAUUUCAUGGAGGUUUACCAAGAAAGCAGGCAUCUUCGCCUCCACUUCAUGAACUUGUAUUUUAAGAAGCUCAGCCAUUCCAGUCCAUGCAGAAAAAGACUCUCAAAGGAAUAUUUACAAUGUGGAUCUUAUAUUAAACAUUUGGUUUUAUAUGCUUAAAUAUUUAUAAAAGCAUAUGUGGAAUAAAUUUUAGUCCACAAA